AUACGGAGGGUGCAAGCGUCAAUCGGAAUUACUGGGCGUAAAGCGCGCGUAGGCGGCUCAGUCAGUCGGAUGUGAAAGCCCCGGGCUCAACCUGGGAAUUGCAUUCGAUACUGCUGAGCUAGAGUAUGGAAGAGGGAAGUGGAAUUCCGGGUGUAGCGGUGAAAUGCGUAGAUAUCCGGAGGAACACCAGUGGCGAAGGCGACUUCCUGGGCCAAUACUGACGCUGAGGUGCGAAAGCGUGGGGAGCAAACAGGAUUAGAAACCCGAGUAGUCC
RNAcentral lists this ribosomal RNA (274 nucleotides) under uncultured bacterium. RNAcentral's name for it is "partial 16S ribosomal RNA". It matches the Rfam family "Bacterial small subunit ribosomal RNA", at positions 523 to 796 of the family's 1533-position model. The record is from RNAcentral.